UCUCUUAGUCGUGCCCACGUGACAUAAAGAGAUAGUGGAAGCGUUCCAGAAAUGUUGCGAAGAGUGGAAAACGCGCUGGAAUCGCUGUACAGCUGCCCAACGGGACUACUUUGAAGGGGAUGGCGGAGUUGUAGAAUAAUUUUUAAAUAUAUGGUUUUUUUUUUAAUCAGUCUCAUUACCCAGUUGUCUAACCUCGUAGAGUGAACGAAGGUAAGAUGAAAAAAUGUUCUUAUUCUUCGAUGUACCGCACCUUAUAAAAUUAUUACGAAAUCAUUUCAUUGAUUCUGGUUUAACUAUAAAGGGUAAAUUCGUAAAUACUCAGCCAAUAAAAAACGUUUUGGAUUUAAAAACAGGUUAAAGCGGUUAAGGUUAAGGCGAAUUGGAGCAUUUCUUCACUUAUAUUCGAUCAAAAGGCGGCCUUCAUGAUCAUCUAACGGGAUUGGAGUUAAGGGCAAUCGGAUAAUACCCGGCAGGUUACUGCGUACAGCAACUUAGAAGAUACGGAAGGAAAAUUCAGCGAUAUGUUUAUCACGAACAAAAUGUCAACUGAUUUAGCGAAAAAUGCUGAGCGGGAUUGGUUUCCAUUGAAGGAGAAAUAAAAGAUAUACCCUUCGGCAAAAUGACAGUAGAUGCAUUAGACAAUUUGGCGGGGUUUAUUAUUAAAAAGUGCCGAAUCGAAGGAGAAACAAUGCAAAUGGGUGCAUAUUCCUAUGGCCUGAAGAAACCAAACCAGUAGUUUCUUGAAUCCGUCUUCAAAUGUAAUAUUCAAAAGGUUGGAGAUAAAAUUUUUAGUGACAAAAGUUGCAUUUCCUGCGCUAAAAUAUUCCGUUGGCUGCUAACGUCAACGAGUUAUUUUUUAAAUGCCGCCCCUAUUUUCGAAUUAGGCACCUAAUUUAUUUGCUUCCA
Molecule: long non-coding RNA, 906 nt
Filed under: Hermetia illucens (black soldier fly)
Lineage: Eukaryota; Metazoa; Arthropoda; Insecta; Diptera; Stratiomyidae
Description: uncharacterized LOC119652740, transcript variant X3
Source: RNAcentral